This 85-nucleotide transfer RNA is filed under the name Enterobacteriaceae endosymbiont of Donacia thalassina. RNAcentral's name for it is "tRNA-Ser". It matches the Rfam family "tRNA". From Rfam's summary of the family: Transfer RNA (tRNA) molecules are approximately 80 nucleotides in length. Their secondary structure includes four short double-helical elements and three loops (D, anti-codon, and T loops). Lineage: Bacteria; Pseudomonadati; Pseudomonadota; Gammaproteobacteria; Enterobacterales; Enterobacteriaceae. The record is from RNAcentral.
GGUGAGAUGGCCGAGUGGCUUAAGGCGCAUGCCUGGAAAGUAUGUAUAUGGUAACAUAUCAGGGGUUCGAAUCCCCUUCUCACCU